GGAAGCAGGUGGGAGGACACUUGCUGUGGCUGGCCCCUGGAGACUCCUGACAGCAGCCUCUGUUCUCACCUAGUUCC
This 77-nucleotide microRNA precursor is filed under the name Pteropus vampyrus (large flying fox). RNAcentral's name for it is "miRNA (ENSPVAG00000028234.1)". Lineage: Eukaryota; Metazoa; Chordata; Mammalia; Chiroptera; Pteropodidae. The record is from RNAcentral.